GGAACACCCGCCUUCCUGUCGCGUCGCGUCGCGUCCCCUCCUCCUCGCCCCACCUUCCUCUCCUCUUCUCCCCUCAGACCUUUCUCCUCCGCCCCCGACUCCUGCCGGAGCUCGAGAUCCCGGAGCGAGCCUCCCACGGGCGCCUCCACUCCCCUCGCCGCACCAACCCGCCGUGUUAUCGCCAGAAACCCCGGCCAGAACUACUCAGCCAGACCAACCCCGAUCCGCCUCGCGCGCGGCUCCCAGGCCGGGCCAGAUCUGCGAGAUCCGCGCCGACAUCGACACGCCUUCCCCGAGGUGCAUGCGCCCGUGAUCUCUCCGGGGCCGCGGGCACUGAGCGGCAUCUCGGCGGGCGUGGGCCGCGUCGCUGGUGGCCAGCGGAGAUGCAGCGGAAUGGGGUGGUGGAAUGCAGCGUCUGCCGCAACCGGCUGGUGGUGCCGAGCCCGCGGAGCGUGUCCAGGGCCUACGACAAGCACCGCAGCAAGAUGUCGUCCAAGUUCCGCGCGCUCAACGUCUUCCUAGUUGUCGGCGACUGCAUCCUUGUCGGCCUCCAGCCCAUCCUAGUGUUCAUGUCAAAGGUUGAUGGGAAGUUUCAGUUCAGUCCCAUCAGUGUUAACUUUCUGACGGAGGUUAUGAAAGUUAUCUUUGCUAUCGUGAUGCUCAUAAUUCAGUCUAGAAAGCAAAAGGUUGGAGAAAAGCCACUUUUGGCACGUUCGACCUUCAUACAGGCAGCCCGUAAUAAUGUACUUCUAGCUGUUCCUGCUCUUCUAUAUGCUAUCAACAAUUACCUAAAAUUUAUCAUGCAGCUGUACUUCAAUCCUGCAACUGUGAAAAUGCUAAGUAAUUUAAAGGUGCUGGUCAUAGCUGUCCUUCUGAAAUUUAUAAUGAGGAGGAGAUUCUCGGUAAUUCAGUGGGAAGCUCUUGCUUUAUUGCUUAUUGGAAUCAGCAUCAAUCAACUUCGGACUGUACCUGCAGGCAAUACCGCAUUUGGUCUUCCUGUCACUGCAAUUGCGUACAUAUAUACACUGGUUUUUGUAACUGUUCCUUCGAUGGCUUCUGUCUACAAUGAAUAUGCCUUGAAGAGCCAAUAUGACACUAGCAUUUAUCUCCAGAACUUGUUUCUGUAUGGAUAUGGAGCAAUAUUCAACUUCCUUGGCAUUCUUGGGACUGCCUUGUUCCAAGGGCCAGAGAGUUUUAAUAUCCUUAGAGGACAUUCAAGGGCCACAAUGUUUCUCAUAUGUAACAAUGCUGCACAAGGCAUUCUAUCUUCAUUCUUCUUCAAGUAUGCAGACACAAUUUUGAAGAAGUAUUCGUCAACUGUUGCCACAAUAUUUACUGGCCUAGCUUCUGCUGCAUUUUUGGGUCAUACCUUGACCAUUAAUUUUCUCCUGGGCAUAUCAGUGGUGUUUAUUUCAAUGCACCAGUUCUUCUCUCCACUUGCUAAAGUCAAAGAUGACAAACCUGCUGACUUAUUAGAGUUGGAAGAUACACAAAACCAUCGGUCAUCUGAAUCUUCUUUUGUAAAUAUGACUGCUGGUGCGGCUGAUGAUGCGAGCCAUCGGAUUGGCACUGAUGAGAGGCAACCACUAUUGCCUACAUGAGCUUGUUUUUUGAGGCUGAGGCUGGAAUGUUUUGGAUAUAAUCCUCAAGAUCAGAAAAAUCUGGUAGGAUAGAAGAUGCUCGUUUUUACCGUGUGAGCAGCAGAACUGUUAUGUAGCAUUGUGAGUUGAAUAAACUAUUGUACACUGUAAAGGCAAAAGAGAAAGAAGCACCAAUGUGUUCCCCAAUUUCUUCUUUCAUUUUUUGGGACGAGGCGGGUGGCCGGCCACCAGUGGGUUUGUGGGAGUGGCAGACCAGCAUACCAUACAUUUUGAUAGACAUAUAAUUGGAUAGGGAUUCUCAGAUACGAUACUUGUAACCAAAAAUUUUCCUGGAGCUGUAUACAGAACAGUGGCAACCCGAUAAUUCUUUUUGUAAGAAUUCUUUUUUGGAUGUUGAUGAAAA
RNA transcript from Panicum virgatum (switchgrass), 2004 nucleotides. It is a transcript of the gene named CMP-sialic acid transporter 5-like, with no coding region annotated. NCBI's taxonomy places the organism in Eukaryota, Viridiplantae, Streptophyta, Magnoliopsida, Poales, Poaceae. The transcript has 17 exons. The record is from RefSeq and is a predicted model, not a curated record.